This 512-nucleotide ribosomal RNA is filed under the name uncultured bacterium. Its description in RNAcentral is "bacterial SSU rRNA". It matches the Rfam family "Bacterial small subunit ribosomal RNA", at positions 8 to 518 of the family's 1533-position model. The record is from RNAcentral.
AGAGUUUGAUUAUGGCUCAGGAUGAACGCUGGCGGCGUGCUUAACACAUGCAAGUCGAACGAAGCUCCCGGAUCUGAUGAUUCGUCUGAAGUGAAGGGAAGACUUAGUGGCGGACGGGUGAGUAACGCGUGGGUAACCUGCCGUAUACAGGGGGAUAACAGUUAGAAAUGACUGCUAAUACCGCAUAAGCGCACAGUGAGGCAUCUCACAGUGUGAAAAACUCCGGUGGUAUACGAUGGACCCGCGUCUGAUUAGCCAGUUGGCAGGGUAACGGCCUACCAAAGCGACGAUCAGUAGCCGGCCUGAGAGGGUGAACGGCCACAUUGGGACUGAGACACGGCCCAAACUCCUACGGGAGGCAGCAGUGGGGAAUAUUGCACAAUGGGGGAAACCCUGAUGCAAGCGACGCCGCGUGAGUGAAGAAGCAUUUCGGUGCGUAAAGCUCUAUCAGCAGGGAAGAAAAUGACGGUACCUGACUAAGAAGCCCCGGCUAACUACGUGCCAGCCGCCGC